CGGGGCAUGGCCCAAUGGUAGGGCGUCCGCUUUGGGAGCGGAAGGUUCCGGGUUCAAGUCCCGGUGCCCCGA
This 72-nucleotide transfer RNA is filed under the name Elusimicrobiaceae bacterium. Its description in RNAcentral is "tRNA-Pro". It matches the Rfam family "tRNA". From Rfam's summary of the family: Transfer RNA (tRNA) molecules are approximately 80 nucleotides in length. Their secondary structure includes four short double-helical elements and three loops (D, anti-codon, and T loops). Lineage: Bacteria; Pseudomonadati; Elusimicrobiota; Elusimicrobia; Elusimicrobiales; Elusimicrobiaceae. The record is from RNAcentral.